AGAGUUUGAUCCUGGCUCAGGAUGAACGCUAGCGACAGGCCUAACACAUGCAAGUCGAGGGGCAUCGGGGCGAGGAGCAAUCCUUGCCGCCGGCGACCGGCGCACGGGUGAGUAACGCGUAUGCGACCUGCCCGUUGCAGGGGGAUAAUCGGGAGAAAUCCCGUCUAAUACCGCGUAACGCCGCGGGGCUGCAUGGCCCUGCGGCCAAAGGAAGCGAUUCCGGCAACGGAUGGGCAUGCGUGACAUUAGCUAGUUGGCGGGGCAACGGCCCACCAAGGCGACGAUGUCUAGGGGUUCUGAGAGGAAGGUCCCCCACACUGGUACUGAGACACGGACCAGACUCCUACGGGAGGCAGCAGUGAGGAAUAUUGGUCAAUGGGCGCGAGCCUGAACCAGCCAAGUCGCGUGAGGGAUGACGGCCCUACGGGUUGUAAACCUCUUUUGUCGGGGAGCAAAUUCCGCCACGUGUGGCGGAGUCGAGAGUACCCGAAGAAAAAGCAUCGGCUAACUCCGUGCCAGCAGCCGCGGUAAUACGGAGGAUGCGAGCGUUAUCCGGAUUUAUUGGGUUUAAAGGGUGCGUAGGCGGACUGUCAAGUCAGCGGUAAAAUACGGGGGCUCAACCUCCGCCCGCCGUUGAAACUGACGGUCUUGAGUGGGCGAGAAGUAUGCGGAAUGCGUGGUGUAGCGGUGAAAUGCAUAGAUAUCACGCAGAACUCCGAUUGCGAAGGCAGCAUACCGGCGCCCAACUGACGCUGAAGCACGAAAGCGUGGGUAUCGAACAGGAUUAGAUACCCUGGUAGUCCACGCAGUAAACGAUGAAUACUAGCUGUCCGGGGCGAAUGAGCCCUGGGUGGCACAGCGAAAGCGUUAAGUAUUCCACCUGGGGAGUACGCCGGCAACGGUGAAACUCAAAGGAAUUGACGGGGGCCCGCACAAGCGGAGGAACAUGUGGUUUAAUUCGAUGAUACGCGAGGAACCUUACCCGGGCUCAAACGACACAGGAACGGUCCUGAAAGGGGUCGGCUCUACGGAGCCUGUGUCGAGGUGCUGCAUGGUUGUCGUCAGCUCGUGCCGUGAGGUGUCGGCUUAAGUGCCAUAACGAGCGCAACCCCCAUCGACAGUUGCUAACAGGUCAGGCUGAGGACUCUGUCGAGACUGCCGGCGCAAGCUGCGAGGAAGGCGGGGAUGACGUCAAAUCAGCACGGCCCUUACGUCCGGGGCGACACACGUGUUACAAUGGCAGGUACAGCGGGAAGCCACCUGGCGACAGGGAGCGGAACCCGAAAGCCUGUCUCAGUUCGGAUUGGAGUCUGCAACCCGACUCCAUGAAGCUGGAUUCGCUAGUAAUCGCGCAUCAGCCACGGCGCGGUGAAUACGUUCCCGGGCCUUGUACACACCGCCCGUCAAG
Molecule: ribosomal RNA, 1408 nt
Filed under: uncultured bacterium
Lineage: Bacteria
Description: partial 16S ribosomal RNA
Rfam family: Bacterial small subunit ribosomal RNA
Source: RNAcentral